CGUCUCAAAAAAAAAAAAGAAAGAAAGAAGAAGAAAUUCACCUGAAAAAUGCAAGUUCUUAAUUCUGAAAUAAAAAGCUGUUUAAAGCAUUAGUAGUUACAGAGUGGUUGGGCACAAUAUUAUUUUGAACAGGUAAAACAAUAGAACACCAUGUCUGCAGAUUUAUUUAUUCAGCUAAAAAACAGUUUUAGUUAUUGUGCCAUCACGUGAAGAAUAGGAAGCUAGACUCAGGGAGUGGAUAGGCUGCUGUGAUGUACAGAUACUCCCCUCCACUAGGGCAGGACUGAUCUGGAAGUGUGUCAACCCCCGAGAGAACAUCUGGGAAGCCUGGUUGAAAAGCUUUGGCUCAUUUAUGCAGGGUAAGAGAGAAUUUUUCAAUAGGCAAAAUGUAUGGAAAGCAGGUAUCAUUCCACUUGCUCUGUGCGUAGCUGCUGGGAUCAGGAUGGGCUGACUGCACAUGUUCCGGACAAGAUGGUGGGCAAGGUGGGUGGUGCAAAGGUCUACCAGCUCAGUGAUUCCGCCAAACCAAAGAAAAGCAGGCAAAAAUGAGUGAUAGCAGGUGCCAGAAUAUUCAGCCUGUCUCAGUCAAUGAACGAAACGUGUUUCCCAUUUUAAGCACAGCCUAAGGGAGAAGUAACAACUAGAAACCAAGGCCUGAUAGAUUCCCAGCCUGUGCACGGUGGAGCUACACGGGCACCUACCUGACUUCCUACACAUCGAGAGGAAAGCUUUCUUAUCCAUACCCCAAGUGCGCAUCUGCCCGCCUUUGAAUCAUUAAACACCACCCCUCCCUUCGCCACCCCUUUCCUCACACCAUGGAGUUCAUAACACCAAGCAUCACCUUCUCUUCUCCUGACACUGACACCAGAAGAAAAGGAAGUCUAUGUUGACGGCACAGAGAUGAAAAUUGCCUCCAUCAUUCUGAGUGUAGGAACAUGUUUUCUUCCCAGAUCGCCCCCUCUUUGGAAGAACACAAUCUCUUCUAAGCUCCCUCCUCCAGCCUAACCCCUGGCCCUGAAGCCCAGGAUCUGCUGAUCAAACACAUGAGCUCACUGCAGCUUAUAUAAGAGCUCUUGGCAGGCCUUCCCAGAGAUGGAUGCUGGGCUAGGUCUCUGCACACUUGUGCUUGCCUCGCCUAGGCAACAUGACUUUUUGUUUCUCUAUCUCCUCAGAACAGAGAGGCCUAUUUGUACUACUGUUCAUCAGUCGUUUUGUAGUAGGAAAGAGGAAGCACAAAGUUUCUUCCUAUUUCCCAGUGAUUAAAAGUGGCCCAACUUCCUAAGGGGGAAAAUAAGAAUUCCAAAGACAAAGCUCACUUGAAUGUGCUGAGCCCCCUUCACUCGGCUGUUUUCUGUGAUGGGGCCACACCGCUGUGGGUUACCACAGGGGAGCAAGGAUAGAAACAGAGUGGGAGCUGGGGGCCACGCCUGUGUGACAUUUCGGAGGACUCCAGCUCGAAGGUCCUUUCUGAGAUGUUUGUGAGCAGGGACUAGGGCAGAGGGAAAGACAAAAUAUUAGGUUGGAGCAAAAGUAAUUGCUGUUUUGCUUAUACUCUUAAUGGCAAAAACUGUAAUUACCUUUGCACCAACCUAAUCGAUGAGAAUUCCCAUCUUCCCCCAAAGGGGAAAUAAAAGGACAUUUAGGGAAAUCUGUCAGAUAGUCUCAAAGGUAGGUCAUCUGCAAGAAAUCCAUCCUGCCUCCGACUGACUUGGUGAGAAGUCCCAUCCAUUCCCAGACUCCAUUUUCUUAAAGGAGAAGAGAAACUUUUGGAAACCACACUCAGGAACUCAGAGAAACGAGGAAAGAGAAAAAGCAAGGAAAAGCCAUUCAUGAACCCAACUUUCAAAUUCAGUGGAUAUUUUGCAUGGCUCCCAAGAGGAGAAGGGACGGUUGUAUGACAGGAUUUGUUUCUCCUACUGCCACUGACGAAAGGAAAGGAAACGCAUGAGGCCCUUUGCCGUGCCCGGCUCCCUUCUGCCGCGUCAGUCACUCCAGGCCUGGGGCUCUGAGGCAGGGCCAGGGAAGGAAGACGCAGGCCUUAGCUGUGGCCAUUCUCAUUCUCUUUCCUGAGCUUCGAAGCCACAUCCUGAGGGCACUUCCUACCCACACAUCCUCGUCCAGGGAAAUGUGCUCAUCUCCCUCCACUCAGCACUGGACUUCUCUCGCAAGGCCAAUUCUGGUGCUCCCUUCAUACCAACUGGCAAUAGGGAUGUGGGCAAGUCAUAUUACGGCUCACUUUCCCUACAUGUAAAAUGGGGCUGGAUAGGGUGAUUCACACACUUACUAAUGGAUUCAUCAGUGAAUAUUUUGUUUUUAAAGAAUGUCUGUCUGGGCUGGGCAUGGUGGCUCAUGCCUGUAAUCUUAGCACUUUGGGAGGCCGAGGCGAGAGGAUCACCUGAGGUCAAGUGUUCAAGACCAGCCUGGCCAAUGUGGUGAAACCCUAUCUCUACUAAAAAUGCAAAAAUUAGGUGGGUGUGGUGACGCGCGCCUGUAGCCUGUAAUCUCAGCUACUGGGGAGGCUGAGGCAAGGAGAAUGGCGUGAACCUGGGAGGUGGAGCUUGCAGUGAGCCGAGAUUGCACCGCUGCACUCCAGCCUGGGCAACAAAGCGAGACUCCGUCUCAAGAAAAAAAAAAAAAAAAAAAAAAAAAGAAUGUCUAUCUGGGCUGGGCACAGUGGCUCACACCUGUAAUCCUAGCACUUUGGGAGGCCGAGGCGGGAGGAUUACCUGAGGUCAGGAGUUCAAGACCAGCCUGGCCAACAUAGUGAAACACCAUCUCUACUAAAAAUAAAAAAAUUAGCUGGGCGUAGUGACUCACACCUGUAAUCCCAGCUACUCAGGAGGCUGAGGCAGGAGAAUCGUCUGAGCCCAAGAGGCAGAGGUUGCAGUGAGCUGAGAUCUCGCCACUACACUCAAGCCUGGGCAACAGAAAGAGACUCUGUCUCAAAAAAAAAAAAAAAAAAAAAGAAUGUCAAUCUGUCAGGCACUGCACCCUAAUCUCUUAAUAUGUCGCAAUGCAGUUCUAUUACUUUUUCUCCAUCUUUUCCCAUCACAUUCUGCUUUUCUCAACCUCUACCCACACCCAGAGUCUGCUUCUUCAGCUUUUUUCUUUUAUUUUCAUAUUUUUCUUCACUCUCUGCACCCUCCCCCACCCCAGCAUGGUUCUAUUUUUAGAAUGUUCAUACAUAAAAUCAGAGGAUUAGAAAAGGGUUUUAAGGGGCCAUCUGCCCACUUUGUUACCUCCAGGCAAACCUGUGCUUAAAAGGCCCAGGAAAGAUCAGAGGGCAUACUCCAAGCCCAAUUUCAGGAUGCACUCCAGCAUCUCACAACUUCUUCCAUUAAAAAAUGGCCUCAACGUCUAACUUAAACCCCUCUGUUCAAUACUACUCUCCUUUUUCUCUUUACCUCUUGAGUCACAUCACAGACAUAAAGCACCUUUGUGAGAGAGAACUGUGGGGAAGUUUAACCCAUAGUGACAUAGUGGAACAUCCCAGGCCAUAACAACCACAGUUUCAAUGUAAAACCAGAUCCAGGAACACAGAAUGGACUAGAGGCUAUGGCAGUUAGCUGGAUUGGGCUUCUGUAAAAUUAACAAAGACAGAACAAAUAGCAAAAAACCAACAAGCACGACCCUACUGGACUCACAGUUUCUAACAAACUAUCUCAAUUAACAUGAACAGUCCACGAGCAAGGAGUUCUAAAAUCAUAGCCCCCUUAGGUUGGAAAGGCCCUUCCUUAGAUGUUAUCAAGUCCAACCUUUUAUGCAGAGUUGGCAGCCAGCAUAGCACAAAGUCUGUCUCUGCUGAUUACAGCUGAAUAACAGAUGGCGGUCAUUCAGUACUGGUUCUUCCAUCAGCAUAUAAAAAAUUCCUUCAAAGCAACUCUCCCAGGACCCUGGAUAGGAGGCAAGGCAGGUGUUCACCUGGACAGGGCCUGAUGCCCUUUUUGGUCUGUGCUAACCUGCUGAGGUAGUCUACGGUCUUAAUAGAGACAGUGUGGUCUAGUGUGUGGGUCGCUUGACAAGGAGGCAGAUUUCAAAACGUGCCACAUUUUCUUUCUGCCUUCUUCAGAUGGCAAGAGGCAGACAACUCAACUAAAGAGAAGAGGAUUUACAGCAAGUUGCUGACCCAGCUUACAGCACAGCUGUCCUCUUCCAUAGAAUGGGAAGAAGUUUUAUGCCUUUAUGCUUCUCUGUACCAUCAACCUCAAAGUUCGGUGGGUAUCUCAGAGAAAGUGUUAUUAUUAGCAAACAGUCAUAAUUCCAAGAAACCACUUGCUAAGGGGUUCCUGAUGGAUGAUUUUCUCUCUCUGUAGAAAACAAGUAAGAACCUUCUAUCUUGGGGAAGUCUGGCAAAUGCUCCAUAGAGGCUGCUGUGGAAGGGAAUCAUUCCACAUCCCAUGUUAGGAUAAGGCCCGAAACCCUGCCUGGGAAAACAAGAGCAGCACACGGAGUGGGCUUCAGUCCUGUCUCAUUUACAGGGUCUUGAACACGCCCUAUAGGCUUCUGGGACCUGUUUUUCUGUAUCUGUCAAACAAGGGGGUGCUCUAACGACCUUCCUGCUGUAGCGAUCUUGCUUCACUUUGGGUAAAUGCCACAGCCAUAGGAGAGGAGGUAGGGUCUUUGUCCUCAUGGGUCUCCCACCAGGCCCAAGGUUUCUCCAAGCCCUGCUGACCCAGGAGGGCCACUCCUAGCCCCUCUGCCAAGAAUCUACUUUCCUUCCCUCAUUGACUGAUCAUGCUCAGAAAUCAGCUAAUUUGGGGGUGGGGGGCAUCCAACAUGAAAGAAACACUACAAAGAAACUCUUAGGUAAGCUCUCUACCUCUACACACACCCAUACACAUACACUGACACAGACACAUACAGGAACCCUGAAAUAUAAGUAUUUUCCCUUCCAUGUAUCAAACCUCUUUUGCCCUCUUGAAUUGCCAGUGUGCUGGGAGAGAAUUCAGUCCCACAGUGGAGAAGCACUGCUUCCACUUACGGAACUCAGCUAAACCUCAGUGUUUAGGGAUGACCCUGGGCACAGGUUGAAGCUAAAGGUCCUAACACACCUCCAUUGCAGUGCAGAAAUGCAGACUUUACCAGCCAUGAUUGGGGCAGUAGCUAACUAAAAGCACAGGACCAGGAUCCAGAUCCUUCCUUUCUUGCUCUUCCACUUCCACUGCCUCCCCCACCCUAGAUGUGUUAUUCUGUAACAGUGGUCGCCUGCUCGAGACUGCUCAUCUGCCUGCAUAGAGUGCCGUGGACUUGCUCUGUAAUGCACUGUAUAUGUGUAUGUCCUGACUCUGUGGUUUACUGCAAAUAAAAAUGACAGCAGGUGGCUGACCUCUGACCUCCUGGUCAUUUCAUGCCAUUGCUUGUGAAAUCAGGAUUGGCCAUUCAUGCUCUGGGGAUGUACGUGCUCCUCCAGACACUUCUGUGACCAUUCCACAGGUGCACGCUGCUAGAGAGGCACCACUGAUGUGUCAGGUUUAGGAGGGGUUGAAAUUCUCUGUUGCCAAUUUCCUGGUGUUGAAGGAGGGGGAGAGAGAGCCAAAAGCCCUAUUUAAUAAGCUCCAGAGAGUUGAACAAUGAGAACACGUGGACACAGGGAGGGGAAUAUCACACAUUGGGGCCUGUUGAGUGGUGGGGGGCAAGGAGAGGGAGAGCAUUAGGAAAAAUACCCCUGCCUGUGGGGCUUAAAACCUAGAUGACGGGUUGAUAGGUGCAGCUAACCAUCAUGACACAUGUAUACCUAUGUAACAAACCCGCACAUUCUGCACAUGUAUCCCAGAACUUAAAGUAAAAUAAAAUUUUUUAAAAGCCCCAGCUAAACACUUUAUAUACAUCUUCACACCGACGUCUCCCCUGAGACGUGGUCAGCAUUUUAUAGAUAAUGAAACAGGAGGCUCAAAAAUGGUGAUUAACUUGCUCAACACAUAACACAAUAAGUAACCCAGUUCUGUCUCUCUCAGACCCCAAAAUUCAUGUUCUUUCCUCUAAUGUUUCUCUAAGUGUGGGACUGCUUGCAUCAGAAACACCUGGGCUCCAGAUUUCCAGGGCCCACCCAGCUCUCCCUCAUCAUGAUGUCUGAGAAUGGGCCUCUGACAUCUGGUAUUUUAAAAGCUGGGGCUGUCUCAUGCCCACAGAAGUUUGAGAACCAUUGCAUCACUCCAUGCAGGGACAGCAGGACUACUUUGGAAGGACAGAGACAAGUCAGCAUUUUAAAAUGACUCGGCUCUUCCUGCCACAGUGGACCAACAAGGCUCCCAAAGCAUUGGAACUCACGCCCUGAUCCACAGUUUUCUCCAUGUCUCUGCUGUCAUCCUCGGGACUGGGCGAGGACUCUGACCUCAGG
This 6337-nucleotide long non-coding RNA is filed under the name Homo sapiens (human). RNAcentral's name for it is "HSALNT0316822". The record is from RNAcentral. Lineage: Eukaryota; Metazoa; Chordata; Mammalia; Primates; Hominidae.